RNAcentral lists this ribosomal RNA (252 nucleotides) under uncultured bacterium. RNAcentral describes it as "partial 16S ribosomal RNA". It matches the Rfam family "Bacterial small subunit ribosomal RNA", at positions 57 to 305 of the family's 1533-position model. The record is from RNAcentral.
GCAAGUCGGACGGUAGCACAGAGGACCUUGCUCCUUGGGUGACGAGUGGCGGACGGGUGAGUAAUGUCUGGGGAUCUGCCCGAUAGAGGGGGAUAACCACUGGAAACGGUUGCUAAUACCGCAUAACGUCGCAAGACCAAAGAGGGGGACCUUCGGGCCUCUCACUAUCGGAUGAACCCAGAUGGGAUCAGCUAGUAGGCGGGGUAAUGGCCCACCUAGGCGACGAUCCCUAGCUGGUCUGAGAGGAUGACC